RNAcentral lists this ribosomal RNA (253 nucleotides) under uncultured bacterium. RNAcentral's name for it is "partial 16S ribosomal RNA". It matches the Rfam family "Bacterial small subunit ribosomal RNA", at positions 524 to 776 of the family's 1533-position model. The record is from RNAcentral.
UGCGUAGGGGGCAAGCGUUGUCCGGAUUUAUUGGGCGUAAAGAGCGUGUAGGCGGUUCGGUAGGUCCGUUGUGAAAACUCGAGGCUCAACCUCGAGACGCCGAUGGAAACCAUCGAACUAGAGUCCGGAAGAGGAGAGUGGAAUUCCUGGUGUAGCGGUGAAAUGCGCAGAUAUCAGGAGGAACACCAAUGGCGAAGGCAGCUCGCUGGGACGGUACUGACGCUGAGGCGCGAAAGCGUGGGGAGCAAACAGG